UUGCAAGCUGCAACAAACUGAAUGAAAAAAGUCAAAAGGAUAUGGAGCAAAUCAUAAAUGAAAUUUGAAAAUGUGUAAUGUUCUUAGAUUUCCCCAUUUGGCAACAUGGACACAAUUCCCACGUCCAUAGAAUCCCAGAUGUAAAAUUUCAGAAAGCUAACUUAUUGACAGUAGUAUUUCCUACAAAAUUAAUCUCUUUGACCUCAAAUCGGCAGUAACAUGGAUGAUUGAGAAUAAACCUGAGAACCUAUUAAGGCAAUUCAGGUCUAUUAAUUAGCAUUAACAUGGAUGAUUGAGAAUAAACCUGAGAACCUAUUAAGGCAAUUCAGGUCUAUUAAUUAGCAU
This 345-nucleotide unclassified non-coding RNA is filed under the name Hevea brasiliensis (rubber tree). The record is from RNAcentral. Lineage: Eukaryota; Viridiplantae; Streptophyta; Magnoliopsida; Malpighiales; Euphorbiaceae.